This 31-nucleotide non-coding RNA is filed under the name Rattus norvegicus (Norway rat). Lineage: Eukaryota; Metazoa; Chordata; Mammalia; Rodentia; Muridae. The record is from RNAcentral.
UCCAUUGUCUUAGGCAAAGUUAACACCUAAC